Long non-coding RNA from Xiphophorus couchianus (Monterrey platyfish), 2047 nucleotides. RefSeq lists it as uncharacterized. NCBI's taxonomy places the organism in Eukaryota, Metazoa, Chordata, Actinopteri, Cyprinodontiformes, Poeciliidae. The record is from RefSeq and is a predicted model, not a curated record. The transcript has 3 exons.
GUGGUUCGCACCUGGGAGCAGGAGACGUGAAAGCAGCGUGCUGAUACACAUCCGUUCUGGAACCCGGAUUAAAAAAUGGACUUUUCUGAUCUUCCAAGACUGAAUCCGAGUGGACGCCAAACUUAAAUAACUGAACUUUCGUGGAUGAACCUGAAAUGGUCUCUUUGCCGAAUGGGCCUAGAAGGUUGGCGUCCACCUGCUAGCGUGGACGCCACCAGGCCACGGGAGCGCCAUGAUUGAAAUCGCUGCGUUUGUUAUUCGAGCAGCAGAGGAGGAGCGACCCGACCAUGGCGUCUCAACGGCGGAUUGUUUGUUGGCUGGCGUCCAGAAAAUAUAGAAAUGGCGUCUGGACUUGGCAGUAUAUCGACAAUGGAUUACCUACGUUGAUCUACAAUCAAGUUGAGGAUCGCUUCUAGCUGCCUGGGGGAUCCGCCCGAUCCAUCAAUGGAUGGUUUCGAUGGCGGGUCCAGAAGACGUCUCAGGGUAGGAGCUGCUGGUUGAAGGCCUACGCUAGGCCUCGCGCUCUGCUGGUUUGGUUUGAUUCUCUGCUGAGAGUCUGAGCUGAGAAGGAUUCUGCUGGUUUAAAUCCUUCUGCUUUGGUUUUUGUACUGCAGUUUUUGAAACAACUGCUGUGGUCAUUUUGACCUGUGCAGGUUUAGGUGCAAUUAGUUGUUGGGAUCUUAAGUUCAUGGUUAAAAGUCUGUUGUGAUGUGAAAGAAAGAUGGCUGCCAAGGAUUUGGCAAAUACAGUUUAGAGGCUACAGGAAGUGAUUUGCCCUAGUAAAUGAUAAAUAUAGCAAAUAAACCUUGAUAACAUACCUACAUAUUUAAUGUGGCUAUGUUGACAUAUUAGCAUAGGUGCAUUAAGGUAAUUAUCUUUUUGGUGAAUAUUAUCAAAUAUCUCUGGGUAAAAAUAAGGUCUUUCAUUUACAUUUCUACAUGCAUACCUUUGUUGUUUGUUGUACCUACUAAAUAUUUAGUUUCAAAUUUUAUUUAAAUAUUUCAAAGGCAGGGUUCAUACUUUAAUAAUUCAAUAAAUCAAACAAAUUUACGUUAAACAAUUUCACAAAAACUGUGAAAACUGAUUUUAUUGCGUCGAAACAACAAAGCGCGGCCUCUUGCGAUUUCAUUUUGGAAUUUCAUUUCUUCUGGACGACGACGCUCAGCGGAGAGAUCUACUGGAGCUGCAGGUCGGAUGUCACAGAGGUAAUGUUCACACUGUCUAAUCAAACUCUUUUCACAGGUUUUCAGCUGAAAUUAACUCCAUGUUUUUCUUCUAGAGCCACUGGGAGCUUUUUAAGUGUAUGUUUUAAACCCAGUUUCUCUCCUAGUCUAAUGAAUGGUUGACCUUUUGUUGCACCUAACUGUUUUCCCUCCCUUUCUAAAGCCUUUAAAAUCACAAUUAAGUUGUUUCUUUCAGAGAUGAAGUCACCAAAAAGGAGCUUCUACUGCAGCUAAAUCCAUUUUCUCCUGUAGAAAACUCUCUCUUUCUUCUGUCCUAUUUUUUCCUCUGUCCUUUCAAAUCCCCCGGGGGUAGUGACAGAUGGCCUUUCAUACAGAACCACCUUCUGGUUCUGCUGGAGGUUUCUUCCUGUUAAAGGGAAGUUUUUCCUCCACUGUCACUACAAGCAUCCUCAAUAUGAGGCAUUGCUUUAGCUCAACUUUCAACCAAUUUAAAUAAUUGGUGCAAUGUUGACCUCUUUUUGAGUCUUCCUUUUAAAGGGAAGUUUUUCUUCUCUAUUCUCAUGCAUCCUCAGUAUGGUAAGGAUGCAUGGGUCAACUUUUCAUCAGAUUUCAUCGUUUAGCAACCCCCCACUGACGGAUGGAAAGGCCGUCAUCGCCCUGCUGCUGAAGGAUGACCUCGGUGACCCCACCAUCGGCUUGGCAGUCAGACUCAAGAAAUGCUGCAGGAAUCCACCUGGGUCAACUUUUCAUCUGACUUCAUCCUUAAUCAACCCCCACUGACGGCUGGAAAGGCCUUCAUCGCCCUGCUGCUGAAGGAUGACCUCGGUGACCCCACCAUCGGUUCGGCAGUCUUCCUCAAGAAA